This 1334-nucleotide long non-coding RNA is filed under the name Sus scrofa (pig). RNAcentral's name for it is "lncRNA (ENSSSCG00055030519.1)". The record is from RNAcentral. Lineage: Eukaryota; Metazoa; Chordata; Mammalia; Artiodactyla; Suidae.
CUCCUGUAUAUCCUGGCUCCUCCCUUACCUCUCUGGAACAGUCCUCGGAGCUCUCUUAGAGGCUACUUCCCAAGUUCGCUUAAGGUCCAAACAAACUUCGCAAGUUUUAGGUCGCGCGUUUUUCUUCAUUCAACACCUCCUCCAUUUUCGCCACGAUGGUGCUGUCUGAAAUCUUUUCUCUUGUCUCUGACUGAAAAUACUUAAGUUGACGUAACCGACUCUAACCCUUAGGCUACCUGUAUUGAAGGCGUUAACGCUUUUCAGCUCCCAGAAGGGCCUGGGCCUGGCGGUGUGGGAACUACAUUUCCCAGAACGCUCUGCGGCCAGAGCGCAGUGUGGCUGGACCAAUGAGGAGUCCGGAGAGGGACGUUUCUGUCUCCUACGCGCCACUUCGGGGCGGGACUUCUGGCCUAGCCCUCCUGGCGGUUAUUUCAUCUGUUCUUGGCUGAGUCCCCUGGAUCAGAGGUUCCAGAGCAGUCGUACCCGAGGUGGCGGGAGAGAAAGCGUGAUCCCCCUGCACAAAGGAGGGUCUCAGGUGCGUCAGGGCUGGGUUCGACGGAGCUCGGGUCUCCGCCCUUGUCCACCGCCGCCGGUUUUGUUGGAGGCGGCUAUGCCGUCGGACUGACGCAGGGAUCGGUGACCUUUGAGGGUGUGGCCAUGACUUUGACCUCGAGUUCCUGGCCAAGAAGAUCUAGCCCAAAGGACCCUAUACCAGGAGGUGAUGCUGCAGAGCUGGAAGACCUGCUUUGUUGGGUUUCCACAAAAGGGCAGCUGACUGGCCCAGUUUGGCUGAGGAAGGGGAUCUCCACAGGCCUCACAGCAGGGACUGGUGAUGAGCUAUUCUCCAAGGAGAAAGGUGAGUCAGACAGGUGCUCAGAAGGCAUUUGUCAUCACUGUCGCCUGGCAUCUUCAAGGGGAAAACAGUCUUAGUUAAAGGUCAAAAGCUCAGUUGUGCCCAGGUGCCUGCAGGGUCCUUCCUUUCUCCUAAGGCGUGGGCCGAGAUCAUCCACUGGUACAGGAGUUGAUCGUAGAGGGUGCACAGUCACGUCACCAAAUGGCUUUGAUGGGUGGCCUGAGAAACUUUUCCUUCCCCUCUUCUCUUGUGGGUCAGCAUAUAAAGAAGUAACCACCGUUCCAUGGGCAAGGACCUAUGCUCCGCUCAUUUCCUCCUCCCAGCUUCUUAGUCCUUGGCAGUGCAGGAAAAUUCAGCCAACACAGUGAGCCUCAAUUGAGAAGAUGGCGCUUGACUUUGAGAUGUCCCCUGCUCUUCUUUUGUGAAAUAUUGAGGAGAGUAGAUGAUACAUGAUAUCUAAAUAAAUGUCUUUAAUUAGCCA